RNAcentral lists this ribosomal RNA (324 nucleotides) under uncultured bacterium. Its description in RNAcentral is "bacterial SSU rRNA". It matches the Rfam family "Bacterial small subunit ribosomal RNA", at positions 29 to 356 of the family's 1533-position model. The record is from RNAcentral.
AACGAACGCUGGCGGCAGGCUUAACACAUGCAAGUCGAACGGGCGUAGCAAUACGUCAGUGGCGAACGGGUGCGUAACACGUGGGCAAUCUGCCGAGAAGUGGGGGAUAGCUCGCCGAAAGGCGAAUUAAUACCGCAUAUGAUCAGUGAAGACAUCUUCACGACAUCAAAGCCGGGCAACCUGGCGCUUCUUGAUGAGCCCGCGGCCUAUCAGCUAGUUGGUGAGGUAACGGCUCACCAAGGCUAUGACGGGUAGCUGGUCUGAGAGGACGACCAGUCACACUGGAACUGAGACACGGCCAGACUCCUACGGGAGGCAGCAGUU